Molecule: long non-coding RNA, 229 nt
Filed under: Nicotiana benthamiana
Lineage: Eukaryota; Viridiplantae; Streptophyta; Magnoliopsida; Solanales; Solanaceae
Description: long non-coding RNA (NBEN_LNC008895)
Source: RNAcentral
GGUAAUAUGCAGACAAGCCUUACCCCUACCCGAAAGGGCAGAGAGGCUGUUUCCAAUCGACCACCGGCUCAUAGAAUAAAAGGAAAAACAGCAAUAAAACAAAAACAAAAACAAAAACAAAAACAAUAAAGUAUUAGUAACUCCAGCAGAAAUAGCGUAAAUAAUUAUCUAAAUAUACGAAACAUAAAUACAAUCGCAUGCAAUAAUAUCUUACAGUAACUACCAUAAC